GGGACACGUGGUAUCCUGUCUGAAUAUGGGGGGACCAUCCUCCAAGGCUAAAUACUCCUGACUGACCGAUAGUGAACCAGUACCGUGAGGGAAAGGCGAAAAGAACCCCGGCGAGGGGAGUGAAAAAGAACCUGAAACCGUGUACGUACAAGCAGUGGGAGCACGCUUAGGCGUGUGACUGCGUACCUUUUGUAUAAUGGGUCAGCGACUUAUAUUCUGUAGCAAGGUUAACCGAAUAGGGGAGCCGAAGGGAAACCGAGUCUUAACUGGGCGUUAAGUUGCAGGGUAUAGACCCGAAACCCGGUGAUCUAGCCAUGGGCAGGUUGAAGGUUGGGUAACACUAACUGGAGGACCGAACCGACUAAUGUUGAAAAAUUAGCGGAUGACUUGUGGCUGGGGGUGAAAGGCCAAUCAAACCGGGAGAUAGCUGGUUCUCCCCGAAAGCUAUUUAGGUAGCGCCUCGUGAAUUCAUCUCCGGGGGUAGAGCACUGUUUCGGCAAGGGGGUCAUCCCGACUUACCAACCCGAUGCAAACUGCGAAUACCGGAGAAUGUUAUCACGGGAGACACACGGCGGGUGCUAACGUCCGUCGUGAAGAGGGAAACAACCCAGACCGCCAGCUAAGGUCCCAAAGUCAUGGUUAAGUGGGAAACGAUGUGGGAAGGCCCAGACAGCCAGGAUGUUGGCUUAGAAGCAGCCAUCAUUUAAAGAAAGCGUAAUAGCUCACUGGUCGAGUCGGCCUGCGCGGAAGAUGUAACGGGGCUAAACCAUGCACCGAAGCUGCGGCAGCGACGCUUAUGCGUUGUUGGGUAGGGGAGCGUUCUGUAAGCCUGUGAAGGUGUGCUGUGAGGCAUGCUGGAGGUAUCAGAAGUGCGAAUGCUGACAUAAGUAACGAUAAAGCGGGUGAAAAGCCCGCUCGCCGGAAGACCAAGGGUUCCUGUCCAACGUUAAUCGGGGCAGGGUGAGUCGACCCCUAAGGCGAGGCCGAAAGGCGUAGUCGAUGGGAAACAGGUUAAUAUUCCUGUACUUGGUGUUACUGCGAAGGGGGGACGGAGAAGGCUAUGUUGGCCGGGCGACGGUUGUCCCGGUUUAAGCGUGUAGGCUGGUUUUCCAGGCAAAUCCGGAAAAUCAAGGCUGAGGCGUGAUGACGAGGCACUACGGUGCUGAAGCAACAAAUGCCCUGCUUCCAGGAAAAGCCUCUAAGCAUCAGGUAACAUCAAAUCGUACCCCAAACCGACACAGGUGGUCAGGUAGAGAAUACCAAGGCGCUUGAGAGAACUCGGGUGAAGGAACUAGGCA
This 1298-nucleotide ribosomal RNA is filed under the name Escherichia coli. RNAcentral's name for it is "partial 23S ribosomal RNA". It matches the Rfam family "Bacterial large subunit ribosomal RNA", at positions 419 to 1719 of the family's 2925-position model. Lineage: Bacteria; Pseudomonadati; Pseudomonadota; Gammaproteobacteria; Enterobacterales; Enterobacteriaceae. The record is from RNAcentral.